GGAAAAUUCAGAGCCUCCCAGAACCUCGGAAACGGUUCACUCAGCUAACGAUAUGCCAUUAAGGACGCCUCUCGUUAGGUGAAACAAUGCGCGUCGAGCCAAGGUACCAGCUGGAAUUCGACGCAUCGCUCAUCAUCUCCGUCGUCAAGUGGACCGGCCUUGAAAAGCUGACCUCCACCGCCCACGCAUCGAGGGGGCCUCACCUUCCGACGUGCAUGUCGCGAAUUGCCAUCUCUUUGGUACA
Molecule: long non-coding RNA, 244 nt
Organism: Orussus abietinus
Lineage: Eukaryota; Metazoa; Arthropoda; Insecta; Hymenoptera; Orussidae
Exons: 3
Source: RefSeq, a predicted model, not a curated record